This 774-nucleotide ribosomal RNA is filed under the name uncultured Neocallimastigales. RNAcentral describes it as "partial large subunit ribosomal RNA". It matches the Rfam family "Eukaryotic large subunit ribosomal RNA", at positions 23 to 633 of the family's 3401-position model. Lineage: Eukaryota; Fungi; Neocallimastigomycota; Neocallimastigomycetes; Neocallimastigales. The record is from RNAcentral.
AGAGAGAGACAUGCGCGCAUAUCAAUAAGCGGAGGAAAAGAAACUAACAAGGAUUCCCUUAGUAACGGCGAGUGAAGCGGGAAGAGCUCAAAUUUGAAAUCUUCAAGGUUUUACCUUGACGAAUUGUAGUUUAAAGAAGUGUUUUCUGCUGAAGUUUUGGUAAAAGUUCUUUGGAAUAGGACAUCAUAGAGGGUGAGAAUCCCGUAUUUGACCAUUAUUUUCAGCUUUGUGAUACACUUUCAAAGAGUCGGAUUGUUUGGGAAUGCAGUCCCAAAAUGGGUGGUAAAUUUCAUCUAAAGCUAAAUAUUGGCGAGAGACCGAUAGCGAACAAGUACCGUGAGGGAAAGAUGAAAAGAACUUUGAAAAGAGAGUUAAGCAGUACGUGAAAUUGUCAAAAGGGAAGCGUUUGACACCAGUGUUGUUUUCUCGAAAAUCAAUUAAAAAUGGCUCGAUUUUGUAUUGUUGAGACCUUAAAAGCUCACUGUACAUUUUUCGUGUCUUUUUUAAUGCACUUUUCGUUUAACAAGUCAACAUCAGUUUCUUUUGUUGUAAAAGGGUCAUUGGAAGGUGGCUUUCUUUUCGGAGAAAGUGUUUAUAGCCUUUGGCCUCUGCAAUCGGAGAGACUGAGGUCUGCAGCGUAGACUCUUCGGGGUUAGAUACAUUUGUGCUAAGUUAUAGCUUUUUAUAGACAACUUGUUGACUAUAAUUAGUCUUGUAGCUUACUCGCUUAUGCUAUUUUACCUACGCUUAGGAUGUUGAGUCGUAGAGCACGCA